This 372-nucleotide ribosomal RNA is filed under the name Triticum aestivum (bread wheat). Its description in RNAcentral is "partial small subunit ribosomal RNA". The record is from RNAcentral. Lineage: Eukaryota; Viridiplantae; Streptophyta; Magnoliopsida; Poales; Poaceae.
AUGGUGGUCACGUGCGGAAGCGCAAGUGAUCCGGCGGGUGAGCAGGAAUCAUGCCGGCAUCUCACAGCAGAAACAAGGCCGCGCAGACGGGCGGCUCGCUGCAGCGCCAGCGGUUUCAAAGCGCGAUCCCGCGACAGCAAAGGCGCAGCGGGUCGAUGGGACUUGGCGGAUCAGGGCGGCUUGUUGCUGGGCCAAACAACGGCGGCGGCACCAUGGCCAAGGAGUACUGAGGCGGCCGGCGGCAAGGCGAGUUGUGGAGGCGGGACUGACAAGGUGGUGGCUCGACCACGACAGAGGCGGAAAGCAGCCGCGGUCCACUCGGAUGGUGCCGCAAUUCUGCCGGGAUUGACCCGGGGUGGAGCUGAUUUUUGA